UACGUAGGGGGCAAGCGUUGUCCGGAUUUAUUGGGCGUAAAGAGCGUGUAGGCGGCUUGGUAGGUCCGCUGUGAAAACUCGAGGCUCAACCUCGAGAUGUCGGCGGAAACCGCUUGGCUAGAGUCCGGAAGAGGAGAGUGGAAUUCCCGGUGUAGCGGUGAAAUGCGCAGAUAUCGGGAAGAACACCUAUGGCGAAGGCAGCUCUCUGGGCCGAUACUGACGCUGAGGAGCGAAAGCGUGGGGAGCGAACAGG
RNAcentral lists this ribosomal RNA (253 nucleotides) under uncultured bacterium. Its description in RNAcentral is "partial 16S ribosomal RNA". It matches the Rfam family "Bacterial small subunit ribosomal RNA", at positions 524 to 776 of the family's 1533-position model. The record is from RNAcentral.